This 466-nucleotide ribosomal RNA is filed under the name uncultured bacterium. RNAcentral's name for it is "partial 16S ribosomal RNA". It matches the Rfam family "Bacterial small subunit ribosomal RNA", at positions 28 to 507 of the family's 1533-position model. The record is from RNAcentral.
GAUGAACGCUGGCGGCGUGCUUAACACAUGCAAGUCGAACGAUGAAGCCCAGCUUGCUGGGUGGAUUAGUGGCGAACGGGUGAGUAACACGUGAGUAACCUGCCCUUAACUCUGGGAUAAGCCUGGGAAACUGGGUCUAAUACCGGAUAGGAGCGUCCACCGCAUGGUGGGUGUUGGAAAGAUUUAUCGGUUUUGGAUGGACUCGGGGCCUAUCAGCUUGUUGGUGAGGUAAUGGCUCACCAAGGCGACGACGGGUAGCCGGCCUGAGAGGGUGACCGGCCACACUGGGACUGAGACACGGCCCAGACUCCUACGGGAGGCAGCAGUGGGGAAUAUUGCACAAUGGGCGAAAGCCUGAUGCAGCGACGCCGCGUGAGGGAUGACGGCCUUCGGGUUGUGAACCUCUUUCAGUAGGGAAGAAGCGAAAGUGACGGUACCUGCAGAAGAAGCACCGGCUAACUACGUG